GCGUGGCUCAUAAAGGGUCCCCGGCCCGAGCAGCCGGGAGGACCCGGGUUCAAAUCCCGGCCCCCGCA
Molecule: transfer RNA, 68 nt
Filed under: Thermoproteus sp. CP80
Lineage: Archaea; Thermoproteati; Thermoproteota; Thermoprotei; Thermoproteales; Thermoproteaceae
Also listed under: 1 other name
Description: tRNA-Leu
Source: RNAcentral